Molecule: long non-coding RNA, 2297 nt
Organism: Mandrillus leucophaeus (drill)
Lineage: Eukaryota; Metazoa; Chordata; Mammalia; Primates; Cercopithecidae
Exons: 17
Source: RefSeq, a predicted model, not a curated record
GGCUGUUGAAACCUUCCUUAAUGUGAGGCCAGAGACAGGCGGACAGCAAAUGUAUCGCAGCGGGCUGGAUGACAUGGCCCUUGGAACCUGUGCACAUGCCUGCCUUUCUGAUGCACAUCCGUGUUUUCUCUGCACCUCCCCAGUGGUGUUCGUGUAAAAAGCAGGCUCAUGUUAGCAAGGAAUGAUUGUCAUCUCAUGUGAUCCUGCGAGAUGGCAGAAGUCCGGGGCCACAUGGAGUGUGGGCUCCUUCGGAGGCUGAUGGAACCCUCCUGAAUGAGUUGUGGCAAUGGAAGUAAGGCCAGUGGCUACGAGGGACAGUCUUCAUCUUGGAAGAUCCAUUGAGAUGGCAGGGAGCCCCUUGACAAGUGGAAUCUGGUCUCCUUUGGUGCUGGUGGAUCCCACAGGUGGUCUGGCAUGGAAGAAGGCCACAGGCUACGAUGGAUGAUGUUUGUCUUGGGGGAUUCCUGGAGAUGGUGGGGAGCCCCUGAGCACGUGCGGCACAUGUGGCAUGGGCUUCUUCAGAAGCUGGUGGACCCCUCAGGAUGCUCGUCAAGGUUUUUCUAUGAGUUCUGUUAAAGAGUCGGAAAAUGGAGCCUAGAAGACAUGCUCCAUUUCCAGGAUGGUUGUGUUUUCCAGAGAGGCGUAGGUAAGCCAUUGGCACAGCCCUGCCUCCCACAGAUAAUUCCGGGUGCAAUGUUUCAUAUCUAGACUUGGACUUCUGUCCUACCAUACUUCUUUGUGUGCAGUUCAUUGUGGAACCAGCACAGAUUUCCAUAUGAAAGUUAUUUUUUUUAACCUCCAAAAGUGACAGAAUGGAGUGUAUCAUGGAAAAAUCUGACAUCAAAACCUCAAAAUGUGAUAUUGAUUGGGUGAGAUAGAAUUCCAUGGAAUUUCAUUGCCAAACCAGUGAAGUGCUAAUUUUGACAUUUGUACCAGCUGAUGUAGCUGUGAAGAAGCACAUCAAUACCACUUCUAAGGACAGCGUAGACCAAGAACUGGGUUUCAUAUGGAGGAAUCUAUUCUUCCUUUGAGGCAAGACAAGAAGGAAAGAAAGUAUUGGGACUAAUGCCAUCCUCAAGGGCCAGUGGGAACUCUAAUAUUGAUUGGGUGAGAUACAAUUCCAUGGAAUUUUACCACUGAACCAGUGAAGGGCUAAUUUUGUCAUUUGUACCAGUUAACUAAUUUGGGAGGAAACAGAACAACACACUCCUGAGAUUGGUUGUCACAGAAUUCCGUGGACUUUAACCAGUGAUGCGCUGAUUUUGUCAUUUGUACCAGCUAACUCAUCUGGGAGGCAACAAAACAAUAUUCUCCUGAGGUUAAUGUGGACGAAGAACUAGAUUUCAUGUAAAAGAGUUUAUUCCUUCUACUUGAGGUGUGACUUGAAGGAAAGUAAUGGAAAUAAUUCUGCCCUCCCAUUCUCAAGGGCCGGGGGAAUUCUAAUCUUGAACGGAAGUGAUUUUGGAAUUGCAUGGAAUUCUCACUGCCAUCCCAAAGAAAUGCUGAUCUUGUCACUCUUACCUGUUCCGUUGCCUGGGGCAGAAUAAAAGGAUGUACUUCAAAGAGCUACAUGAACCAAGAACUGGGUUUCAUAUGAAAUAUUUUAUUCUGUCCUCUUGAGAUGUGACAUGAAGAAAAGUGUUGAGAAUAUUUCUAUCACCUCAUCUUCAAGAAUCAGUAGGAAUUCUCCCAUGGUGGACUUUAGGGUUAACCUGAACAGGUCUUGGGAAAAGGACUUUAAACAUUCUCCUGUUCUGUGGAAUAAGUAUACUUUUUUCUGGACAUACACCUUGUCAUUGAGUUCCAUGUGAUACUAGAGUUGCGUGGAUUUUUAAUCUUUACACCAAUGAAGAUCAGAGGUUAACAGUGCCCUUUUUUUAGAAGUUUGUAUUUGUCACUGAUAACUGUAAUAACUGAUCUUGUUGAAAAGCAUGAGAAAUGAAGAUCUGAUAUGUCACUUUUACCAGCUUCCUCAACUGAGAAAGAAUACAAUGAAACAUGCUGAGAAUUUUUGUGCUUUCUCAGUCUUGUUGAUGAUCUUUCUGUGGGCAUGAAGCAUGGAGAGUGCCAGAGAGGCUGAUCCUCAACAGUGUGACAGCGGAAAGUUGGGUGUGACCAAGAGGUAUGCGGUGCCCAAAUGCCAGUAGGUCCUCAGCAGUACCACCUGAUCGGAAGUGAUAUUGGUGGAAGACAACACUUUGCCGCUUGGAAUUCUCACCUCCACACCAAAGAAGGACUGUUUUUGUCAUUUGCACCAGCUUCUUUCUCCAGGAAAGAUCAAAACGAUGCACUCCAAG